RNAcentral lists this ribosomal RNA (761 nucleotides) under uncultured bacterium. RNAcentral describes it as "bacterial SSU rRNA". It matches the Rfam family "Bacterial small subunit ribosomal RNA", at positions 8 to 796 of the family's 1533-position model. The record is from RNAcentral.
AGAGUUUGAUCCUGGCUCAGGAUGAACGCUAGCGGCAGGCCUAAUACAUGCAAGUCGAACGGUCCUAGCAAUAGGAUAGUGGCGCACGGGUGCGUAACGCGUAACCAACCUACCUGGAUCUGGGGGAUAGCCCGCCGAAAGGCGGAUUAAUACCGCAUAAGACUAUAGUGUGGCAUCACAGAGUAGUUAAAGAUUUAUUGGAUUCAGAUGGGGUUGCGUAGCAUUAGCUAGAUGGCGGGGUAACGGCCCACCAUGGCGACGAUGCUUAGGGGACCUGAGAGGGUGAUCCCCCACACUGGCACUGAGAUACGGGCCAGACUCCUACGGGAGGCAGCAGUAGGGAAUAUUGGACAAUGGGCGCAAGCCUGAUCCAGCAAUGCCGCGUGAGUGAUGAAGGCCUUAGGGUUGUAAAGCUCUUUUACCCGGGAUGAUAAUGACAGUACCGGGAGAAUAAGCUCCGGCUAACUCCGUGCCAGCAGCCGCGGUAAUACGGAGGGAGCUAGCGUUGUUCGGAAUUACUGGGCGUAAAGCGCGCGUAGGCGGCUUUGUAAGUUAGGGGUGAAAGCCCGGUGCUCAACACCGGAAUUGCCUUUAAGACUGCAUCGCUUGAAUCCAGGAGAGGUGAGUGGAAUUCCGAGUGUAGAGGUGAAAUUCGUAGAUAUUCGGAAGAACACCAGUGGCGAAGGCGGCUCACUGGACUGGUAUUGACGCUGAGGUGCGAAAGCGUGGGGAGCAAACAGGAUUAGAUACCCCGGUAGUCC